GACGAACGCUGGCGGCGUGCUUAACACAUGCAAGUCGAACGGAAAGGCCCUGCUUUUGUGGGGUGCUCGAGUGGCGAACGGGUGAGUAACACGUGAGUAACCUGCCCUUGACUUUGGGAUAACUUCAGGAAACUGGGGCUAAUACCGGAUAGGAGCUCCUGCUGCAUGGUGGGGGUUGGAAAGUUUCGGCGGUUGGGGAUGGACUCGCGGCUUAUCAGCUUGUUGGUGGGGUAGUGGCUUACCAAGGCUUUGACGGGUAGCCGGCCUGAGAGGGUUACCGGCCACAUUGGGACUGAGAUACGGCCCAGAAUCCUACGGGAGGCAGCAGUGGGGAAUAUUGCACAAUGGGCGGAAGCCUGAUGCAGAAACGCCGCGUGCGGGAUGACGGCCUUCGGGUUGUAAACCGCUUUCGCCUGUGACGAAGAGUGAGUGACGGUAAUGGGUAAAGAAGCACCGGCUAACUACGUG
RNAcentral lists this ribosomal RNA (468 nucleotides) under uncultured bacterium. RNAcentral describes it as "partial 16S ribosomal RNA". It matches the Rfam family "Bacterial small subunit ribosomal RNA", at positions 28 to 507 of the family's 1533-position model. The record is from RNAcentral.